Molecule: ribosomal RNA, 131 nt
Filed under: Rocio gemmata
Lineage: Eukaryota; Metazoa; Chordata; Actinopteri; Cichliformes; Cichlidae
Description: partial small subunit ribosomal RNA
Source: RNAcentral
GCAAGUUGACAGGUGCCGGCGUAAAGAGUGGUUAAGGGAAAACAUAAAACUAAAGCUAAACACCUUCAGAGCUGUCAUACGCUUCCGAAGAUAUGAAGCCCCACCACGAAAGUGGCUUUACCCCCCCCCCC